UAUUCUGCCCCACGGGGAAGGAUGAGAAGCUUCGACUAAGGUUCGACUCGAGCGAAGCGAGAGAACGUUGCCGCAGGCAACGGCCCGAAGGACGAGGCGCUUUAGCGCCGAGUAAUCCUUCCCCCACCACCA
This 132-nucleotide small RNA is filed under the name Klebsiella pneumoniae. RNAcentral describes it as "RtT sRNA". It matches the Rfam family "RtT RNA". Rfam says of the family: This family represents a bacterial cis-regulatory element known as RtT RNA. Lineage: Bacteria; Pseudomonadati; Pseudomonadota; Gammaproteobacteria; Enterobacterales; Enterobacteriaceae. The record is from RNAcentral. RNAcentral also lists the same sequence under 1 other name.